RNAcentral lists this ribosomal RNA (253 nucleotides) under uncultured bacterium. Its description in RNAcentral is "partial 16S ribosomal RNA". It matches the Rfam family "Bacterial small subunit ribosomal RNA", at positions 524 to 776 of the family's 1533-position model. RNAcentral also lists the same sequence under 1 other name. The record is from RNAcentral.
UACAGAGGUCUCAAGCGUUGUUCGGAUUCAUUGGGCGUAAAGGGUGCGUAGGCUGCGAGGUAAGUCUGGUGUGAAAUCCCGGGGCUCAACCCCGGAACUGCACUGGAUACUGCUUUGCUAGAGUACUGGAGAGGGAACUGGAAUUUACGGUGUAGCAGUGAAAUGCGUAGAUAUCGUAAGGAAGACCAGCGGCGAAGGCGAGUUCCUGGACAGUUACUGACGCUGAGGCACGAAGGCCAGGGGAGCAAACGGG